Molossus molossus (Pallas's mastiff bat) is the source of this 190-nucleotide small nuclear RNA. RefSeq annotates it as U2 spliceosomal RNA. The record is from RefSeq and is a predicted model, not a curated record. NCBI's taxonomy places the organism in Eukaryota, Metazoa, Chordata, Mammalia, Chiroptera, Molossidae. The transcript has a single exon.
AUCGCUUCUCGGCCUUUUGGCUACGAUCAAUUGUAAUUUCUUUUCUUAUCAGUUUAAUAUCUGAUACAUCCUCUAUCUGGGACAAUAUAUUAAAUGGAUAUUUGGAUCAGGAAAAUGGAAUAGGAGCUUGCUCUGUCCACUCCACGCAUCAACCCGGUAUUGCAGUACCUCUGGGAAUGGUGCAAAAAAA